UCAAAGGAAUUGACGGGGGCCCGCACAAGCGGUGGAGUAUGUGGUUUAAUUCGAUGCAACGCGAAGAACCUUACCAGGGUUUGACAUCCUGCGAAUCCCUUGGAAACGAGGGAGUGCCUUCGGGAGCGCAGAGACAGGUGGUGCAUGGCUGUCGUCAGCUCGUGUCGUGAGAUGUUGGGUUAAGUCCCGCAACGAGCGCAACCCACGUCUUUAGUUGCCAGCAUUCAGUUGGGCACUCUAGAGAGACCGCCGGUGAUAAACCGGAGGAAGGUGUGGAUGACGUCAAGUCAUCAUGCCCCUUACAUCCUGGGCUACACACGUACUACAAUGCUACGGACAAAGGGUUGCAAGCUCGCGAGAGUUAGCUAAUCCCAUAAACCGUGGCUCAGUUCAGAUCGUAGGCUGCAACUCGCCUACGUGAAGGAGGAAUCGCUAGUAAUCGCAGGUCAGCAUACUGCGGUGAAUACGUUCCCGGGCCUUGUACACACCGCCCGUCACACCAUGGAAGUUGGCCAUGCCCGAAGUCGUUACUCCAACCCUUGUGGAGGAGGACGCCGAAGGUGGGGCUGAUGACUGGGGUGAAGUCGUAACAAGGUAGCCGUACCGGAAGGUGCGGCUGGAUCACCUCCUAACAGGGAGACACAACUGAUCGUGAUGUCUGAGCGCCAACCAAGCGUAAGUUUGGGAAGCACCUUUGUCUCAGGCCACGGUCCUGUCAUCUCGAAGGUCGAUCGGUACCUCAAGGUGAGCCAUCAAAGCCAAGGUAGAAGCCAGAGAGCUCGAGAGAGCAGGAUGGAGGAAGCCAAGGAUGUUGUGAUGGACUCGUUUUCAGUUCCUAAACUUUGUCUAGGUCACCCCACCAAGGGUUUUGCCAGACAUCCAGUGUUUCGGAUCCCGCCAGGGAGAGGAAGCCAUGGGUGAUUGGAGGAACCACUGUCAGAGUGAUUGUUCCUGGGCCAUUAGCUCAGGUGGUUAGAGCGCACCCCUGAUAAGGGUGAGGUCCCUGGUUCAAGUCCAGGAUGGCCCAUUCGUGUUUGGGGGUUUAGCUCAGUUGGUAGAGCGCCUGCUUUGCAAGCAGGAUGUCAGCGGUUCGAGUCCGCUAACCUCCAUCCAGCUAGGUUAAGACCACAACAUGAAGCUGCAUCAGGAGGAAUUCUGAUGGGUGAAGUGACCGGACAUGUUCAGCUGAGGACUCCAGCCUCCUUUCAUUCCCAAAGAAUGGAUUCAUCGUAUCGGAUGGUUACAUUUUGUGAUGGUUGAAAGGAAGCUGGACUCGCUGAUCACCAUUUUGCUUGCUCAUGUGAUCAUGUUCAAGUGAAAUGAUGCAUCGGUGUAGCCAGCAAAGAACCUUGACAACUGCAUAGGUGAGUCUGGAAAAGAAAGCAUCUCAUGGAUGCCCAGACGGACGUGGAGGGAUCCUGGUAACCCCGGGUGAAGGCUGCGGCUGACUGGGAGAUUCUUGAGUUUAGAGCCGAGAGCUUCCAGCGUCUUUUCGCUCCGCCGAGGAGGGAAGAGUCAGAUUCUGCAUUUCAAACCGCUUGCGUUUGAAUGGGGCGAGAGACCGCGACGGGCAACCGCAGCGGUGGAUGGUUUCAUGAAAAGCGAAAGCAGGUGAAAGCAGGAGAAUGGGUCUCAACAACCCUGAACGUGGAAGUGUUAAUGUC
This 1664-nucleotide ribosomal RNA is filed under the name Synechococcus sp. CCAP 1479/5. RNAcentral's name for it is "bacterial SSU rRNA". The stretch from base 1 to 632 matches the Rfam family "Bacterial small subunit ribosomal RNA", at positions 901 to 1533 of the family's 1533-position model. Lineage: Bacteria; Bacillati; Cyanobacteriota; Cyanophyceae; Synechococcales; Synechococcaceae. The record is from RNAcentral.